UACGUAGGUGGCGAGCGUUGUCCGGAUUUACUGGGCGUAAAGGAUGCGUAGGUGGAAAUUUAAGUGGGAUGUGAAAUCCCCGGGCUCAACUUGGGUGCUGCAUUUCAAACUGGAAGUCUAGAGUGCAGGAGAGGAGAAUGGAAUUCCUAGUGUAGCGGUGAAAUGCGUAGAGAUUAGGAAGAACACCAGUGGCGAAGGCGAUUCUCUGGACUGUAACUGACGCUGAGGCUCGAAAGCGUGGGGAGCAAACAGGAUUAGAUACCCGCGUA
This 269-nucleotide ribosomal RNA is filed under the name uncultured prokaryote. RNAcentral's name for it is "partial 16S ribosomal RNA". It matches the Rfam family "Bacterial small subunit ribosomal RNA", at positions 524 to 792 of the family's 1533-position model. The record is from RNAcentral.